GCCCUCGCCCCCACCACUGCCACCGUCGUUCUUUUCUGCCCUCUCCCUCUCUGUCUGUCUCUCUCUGUCUCUUUUCUUUUUCUCUCUGCCUGUUAGCUGCUCUCUCUUAAUCUCUGCCUCUUUGCUUUUUUUCUCUAUGUGCAAGCUAAGACAUACUACACACUAUAGUUUGAAGAAGCAGACAAGGAACUCUUAACCAUUCUAUCUUCUCCAGUUCUUUGCCCAUUGCCUGGACUCAGUGUUCAUGCAAGAUAAAGUCGGCUACACACUUCCCUUCCCAAGCAUUACUUGCCAGGUGAGCACAGGGCCUGCCCUGAAUGUGACAUCAUGAUCCACGGAAGGUAUAUUGUAUCAACACGAACUAUAACAUAGCUAUCAAGAUGGGAUUUGGGUACACAUAUCCGUGUCAGUUAUAAAGCCGAUCACAAAAACAAGAUCUCCAGGCAUGAAGUAAUGAUCACAGCUGAGUCUCCUAUUGAGUUUUCCUACAGAGGUAUUUCAGGGUCCUGAAUCACAGCUAAAAUGGAAUGCCUUUGUGUGUGCUCUGUAAGCGGGAGGUAUUGCAUCGAAGCAAGUGUUGGCUCAACUUCCUAAUGAGAAACCUGGAUACUGAUGGGGCUUAGCUUUGAUUGGAUUCUGGAACUUACUGCACUAAUCUGGGUGUAGUCCAGCAACUGGGUGGCACUGGCAGAGGGAGCCCUACUUCUGCCACAAUUACUGGUCAAUUGCAAGUGAUUAUAAUGGCACCGUGUCUAAAACAAUAUGGAGAAAAAUGCUGCCUGGAAAACAUGAAGCAGUGGUGCUCUACAAUGGAACGAGCAAGUUGCUGAGCAUAUCAGAACAACAAGAGACUUUGGAAAUUUGUGUUGCUACUCUGGACCACAGGAAGAUGGCACUUUAAAAAAAGUCUAUGUGGUUUAUUUUCUUCUCCUUCAGCAGGUGGAACAAGGCCCAGUGGGCUCUACACAUACCAUCUCUCUUGGUGUGUGGAAAUGGUUGGACAGAAUUCAAGAAAGAGCAGGGUUGGCCAGUCUUGCCAUAUGAAUUAACCCAAGAAAUAGGAAGAGCUGACAGAAAGUUUGUUACUGCAUCUAACUUCACCUCCACACAAGUGAGACACUCCAUUGGUAUGGAAGAUGCAAAUUCCUAGAAAUUACCACAUUAGGAAAACAUUUCUGGAAUGCUUAUGAGUAAAUGCUGGAUAGACUUGACCAAUAGAUAGUUGCUCUGAUAUUUGCAGAUCAUGUAGUAGAGCUACUAUUUUUGCCUUUA
RNAcentral lists this long non-coding RNA (1272 nucleotides) under Equus asinus (donkey). RNAcentral's name for it is "lncRNA (ENSEASG00005025605.1)". The record is from RNAcentral. Lineage: Eukaryota; Metazoa; Chordata; Mammalia; Perissodactyla; Equidae.